This is a long non-coding RNA of Nothoprocta perdicaria, 281 nucleotides long. RefSeq lists it as uncharacterized. The transcript is spliced from 2 exons. NCBI's taxonomy places the organism in Eukaryota, Metazoa, Chordata, Aves, Tinamiformes, Tinamidae. The record is from RefSeq and is a predicted model, not a curated record.
UGAACUGAGUUGCUGCUUCGUCAUCUUGGUGCUUUUUGAAUGGCCUUCAUCAGCACAGCAAGAAUAACCUUGCUGUGUCUCUCCUCAUGUCACAGCCAAAUAUGACUUUCCUCUCCACAAAAAUGAAGCUAGAAUUAAGUAACAACUUCCAUGUAAUGAGAACAGAUGUGGUAGAACUGUGGAACCCAGCAUAAUUUCAGGGUGAACAGCGGCCUCAGUACCAGCCCCUUGUCUCUGCAGGCCAGGCUAAAGAAGCAGAACUGUGAGUAACUCAACUUUCC